GCAUCCGUAGCUCAGCUGGAUAGAGUACUGCUCUCCGAAGGCAGUGGUCGUGGGUUCAAAUCCCUCCGGGUGCACCA
This 77-nucleotide transfer RNA is filed under the name Candidatus Pseudomonas adelgestsugas. RNAcentral's name for it is "tRNA-Arg". It matches the Rfam family "tRNA". From Rfam's summary of the family: Transfer RNA (tRNA) molecules are approximately 80 nucleotides in length. Their secondary structure includes four short double-helical elements and three loops (D, anti-codon, and T loops). The record is from RNAcentral. Lineage: Bacteria; Pseudomonadati; Pseudomonadota; Gammaproteobacteria; Pseudomonadales; Pseudomonadaceae.